UUCCGUAUUUUUUUAGAAAUCUGCAGGUUCUAAGCAUUAUUAUUAGACAAGCUUAGMAACUAUUUUGUUCGCUACAUUAGAUACAUCGUUCUUACUUUUUCUUCAACUUAAYAUUUUUCAACAUGCAGGUUAUGUUUGCUAACAGCUGWUUGCUGUUGGAUACGAAUGUGUACAUGCCUUGCAGACAAUUUGUCGAUUAAAAACACAUCCCGACCGGUCACGUUCUACGAUUUUCUGCUGUAGCGGAUUGCUUUAAAGAAGACUGCUCAUAGUUAAAGAGGGGUGAAAACUCUUAAGAGAGGCUACGUCAUUGAGCCAGAGACAAAACUUGUCUCUGAUUGAGCUAGUGUUCGCUACCGAAGACUUUCCUGCUUGACUUAAAGAUGUGAGAGCCAGUAUGAAAAAGAAAAAUGACUGUGUAUUACUGUAAUUCUGUAUAUUUUUGACUGCGAAACAUUAAAACUAACAGCUAAAGUUUCAUGAGAGUUGUGAGUAACUGAUCUUGCUUACUAAGUUUUUCAUCUUUCCAGUCAUAAUAACAAACUACUUAUAUGUUUGAGUAAUGCAAACAAACAUUUACAUAUUGCACAAGUAGGAAAAUACAUAAAUACUAAGAUGGCA
This is a long non-coding RNA of Dendroctonus ponderosae (mountain pine beetle), 621 nucleotides long. RefSeq lists it as uncharacterized. The record is from RefSeq and is a predicted model, not a curated record. The transcript is spliced from 2 exons. NCBI's taxonomy places the organism in Eukaryota, Metazoa, Arthropoda, Insecta, Coleoptera, Curculionidae.